AUAGGCAGGUCCCUAUCCUGCUCCCUCACCCCGGAGCGCGGGCUCUGCUCGCCACCGCUCUCAUGGCUCCCUCCAGCCGGACUUGUUGGGUUAUCCGCCAUGUCACCUAAAUCCCUGACGGAGAAGAGAGAGGAGGGUUAGUUAAAGAGUUUGUAUUUGGCGCGAGAUGGAAGAGAGAGAAAGAGAAGGGAUUGGUGGAAUUGUUAUUAUUGAGAGAGGUGAGAUCUGACGAUGGAGAAGAGAAG
This 245-nucleotide unclassified non-coding RNA is filed under the name Hevea brasiliensis (rubber tree). Lineage: Eukaryota; Viridiplantae; Streptophyta; Magnoliopsida; Malpighiales; Euphorbiaceae. The record is from RNAcentral.